CUCUCCACUCGGUAGAGUCACACACACACCGUCUGGACUCGUCGCGCCGUCGUCACUCGUCAGUAGUCCGUCACUCGUCCCGUCCGAAGUCGGCCCUCUCGCGAGUCUCGUCUUCGAGUGGUCCGGUCCGCUAUCGCUGAUCGCAACUGGCACGGUGGGCGUGCGUGUGCGGGUUUUACUUUCCACUGAUUAACUCUUCGCCCGAUUUAUACGGGCCCGCGUUGUAGUACUUAAUAGUAUCUAUUGUAGACGUGUGUGUGUGAUCGCGUCGUCCGAUUGCGUUACUCGUUUGUGCGCGCGCGCGUGUGUGUGUCAGUGUGAGUGUGUGCGCGCGGUGCGUUUUCUCCACUCGGCCCGACCGACCGCGGCGACGCGCGCGAUGUGUUGUACGUGUGCGGAUUAGUCUGUUCCAAUUACGGUUGGUGAACACCGUCGGGUCCGUCGUUCUCCGAGCUGUGCUACAAACUGGUGCGGUGGUGUCCCCGCGUUUCGUCUUCACCGGAGAUGGAAUUUCAUUGGUGUUACCGUGGUCGAACAGAUUCUACCAAUCACACAGAACCAAUCAACGUUGAUAGGAAAACAUGAUUUGAACCAUUUUAAUGUUUUAUGUUACGUGAAUUUUUCGGUUUUUGUUACUUUUAAAUUAGUUUUAAAAUAAGUAUAGAAAAUGUCUCCAGUUGAAAAAGACCAAACACUUACUCCAAGUUCGCUGGGAAGUUCUAUGAACAAAAUACCCCAUUCACAAUCCACUCCCGGUGUGUCUGGUUCUAAAACACCGCCGACAACACCCAGAAGGGGAGGGAAAAUGCUCAACGUUCGUGUCCAAAUGUUGGACGAUUCAGUUACACUCUUUCAAGUGCAGACAAAAGCUGAUGGGUCAGUGUUAUUUGAACAAGUAUGUAAACAACUUAACUUGCUGGAAGCCGAUUAUUUUGGCCUUGAAUAUCAAGAAGGUUCUACAAAACAUUGGUUAGACCUAGAAAAGCCAUUAAACAAACAAAUAGGACUGUCGCUUGUGGAACCAUUAAUGAGGUUUUGUGUUAAGUUCUACACACCUGAUCCUGCUCAAUUGGAAGAGGAAUACACCAGGUAUCUGUUUUGUUUACAAGUGAAACGAGAUUUAUCACAUGGGCACAUGCAAUGUAAUGAUAACACUGCUGCUUUAAUGGCCUCUUAUAUUGUGCAAGCUGAAUGUGGAGAUUAUUCUGCAGACGAUUAUCCAGAUCACACUUAUUUAUCAUCACAUAAAUUUGUUCCACACCAAGACAGAGAAAUGGAAAUAAGAAUAAUGGAAAGUCAUAAAAGGCAUAUAGGACAAACACCAGCAGAAGCCGAUUUAAAUUUAUUAGAAACUGCACGUCGGUGUGAAUUAUAUGGGAUCAAAAUGCAUUCAGCAAAGGAUCCUGAAGGUGUUCCUUUAAAUCUUUCGGUUGCACAUUUGGGCGUGUUGGUUUUUCAAAAUUUUACAAAAAUUAAUACAUUUUCUUGGGCUAAAAUCAGAAAAUUGAGCUUUAAACGUAAAAAAUUCCUUAUCAAACUACAUCCUGAGGGAUAUGGUUACUUUAAAGAUAUAGUGGAAUUUAUAUUUGAAACUCGUAAUGAUUGUAAAAGUUUUUGGAAAAAAUGUGUAGAAAAUCAUGGCUUUUUUAGAUGUUUCACUGUAAAACGUUUACCACGUCAACGGACCAAAGUUCUAAGUCGAGGAUCAUCAUUCAGAUAUAGUGGUAAAACUCAAAAACAAAUGGUGGAAUUUGUUAGGGAAAACUUUGUUAAACGUCAAACAUUCCAAAGGUCUCAAUCAUUUCGGCAUCCCGGAUUGUCACAUUCUUCCAAUGCUGGUUGCAGUUUAUCAGCACAUCCUUUAUUGCCCCUCGCAAAUUCGGAAGUCACGAGCCUAGCGGGUUCUCUGAGUCCGAACGCAGUCCAUCGCCAGGUGGUGCCUGGAGAGGUGUCGACUGCUCAAGUUGUACAUCCGACGACAGUGAUGACGACAACUUCGGACAUAACUUCCAUCACUUCGUCCCAGCACUCGUACAGCGUCAACGAUCCAGGUGAUACUCCUGAAGAAGUAGAUUCACCGUUUAAGAAAAUCAACGGAUCAACAUCGUGUUUGUCUUCUAUGUCUGUUAAAGAAAAUGGUGUAAUGACAAUCACAUCUUCCACCCCGAAAAAUCAUGUAACAAAUGGAUCGUUGGGAAAUAUAAGUAACGAUCAUUAUAACAACCUUAGCACAAUAAAUACUGCUAAGGAUAAAACUUCAACGAAAAAUCUUGAAAUUACUGAUACAAAACGCAAAAGGCCCACCGACAGAGCAUAUUUUAUAACUAAAGAAAUAUUAAUGACAGAGCGGACUUACAGAAAAGACUUAGAAGUCAUUAACUUUUGGUUGCGUGAUGAAAUGAGCAAAGAAGAUGAUGAAAUGGGUCAAAUAGAAUCUGUAAACAUGCUUUUAAAUUUAAUUGAUCCAAUUUAUGAUGCUCAUUCUUUAUUUUUGAAAGAUGUGGAAAUGAGAUUAAAUAGUUGGGACCCUCCGUGUAUAGCAGAUGUUUUGUUACGCCAUUUUAAUAAUUUGGAGUUGUACGAUAAUUACUUAGAUGAACACUUAAAUGUCUUAGAAAAAAUUGAUCAUGCAUAUCGUACUAACAAGAAAUUUGAAGCAUUUUAUAAAGAUUUUGAAGUAGAAAAAGUGUGCUAUUUGCCAUUGUCUUCAUUUGUAUUGAAACCACUUCAAAGAUUACUCCAUUAUUCUCAUUUACUAGAAAAAUUAAUAAGACACUAUGGCUCUUCACAUAUUGAUUACAACAACUGUUUGGAAGCGAGAGUAAAACUAUUGAAAGUAACAAAGAGAUUACCAAGUGCACUUCGCAGAUCGGAGAACUUUGUACAGCUUUGUGAGUUGGAGAGAGAUAUGGUUGGCAUUGACACUCUUCAUGUUACUGGUCGAGAGUUUGUACGGCAAGGGUGUCUAACCAAAUUUUCACAGAGAAAAGGUUACCAACAGCGCAUGUUUUUUCUGGGUAAUCACAAUUGCGGCGAACAGUCAGGAGGAAAAAGAUAAAUGGAUGGAAGACAUCGCACAAAGCGUUCAAGCGUACAAAGGAGAACGGGCAAAUAUCGAGCCACCAAAUAUUUAUUUGAGUUUGAAAUCAUGCAGUUCCUCAGAUGACAUGAUGAGCAACAAC
RNAcentral lists this unclassified non-coding RNA (3182 nucleotides) under Acyrthosiphon pisum (pea aphid). Its description in RNAcentral is "fERM, ARHGEF and pleckstrin domain-containing protein 2, transcript variant X3". Lineage: Eukaryota; Metazoa; Arthropoda; Insecta; Hemiptera; Aphididae. The record is from RNAcentral.